UUGCGCCCAUAUUACGUUGAAACACGGGUUAAUGUACGAUCACCGAAGUUCAGCAGCGUCGAGUCUGGUCAGUACCUACAUGGGUGACCGCUUGGAAAUACCAGGUGCUGUAA
Acanthosepion pharaonis is the source of this 113-nucleotide non-coding RNA. Lineage: Eukaryota; Metazoa; Mollusca; Cephalopoda; Sepiida; Sepiidae. The record is from the annotation of a GenBank genome assembly.